UACGUAGGGCGCAAGCGUUGUCCGGAAUUAUUGGGCGUAAAGAGCUCGUAGGCGGCUUGUCACGUCGGUUGUGAAAGCCCGGGGCUUAACCCCGGGUCUGCAGUCGAUACGGGCAGGCUAGAGUUCGGUAGGGGAGAUCGGAAUUCCUGGUGUAGCGGUGAAAUGCGUAGAUAUCUGGAGGAACACCGGUGGCGAAGGCGGCAUCCUGGACCAACACUGACACUGAGGAGCGAAAGCCAGGGGAGCAAACGGG
This 253-nucleotide ribosomal RNA is filed under the name uncultured bacterium. RNAcentral describes it as "partial 16S ribosomal RNA". It matches the Rfam family "Bacterial small subunit ribosomal RNA", at positions 524 to 776 of the family's 1533-position model. The record is from RNAcentral.